UAGGGAAUCUUCGGCAAUGGACGAAAGUCUGACCGAGCAACGCCGCGUGAGUGAAGAAGGUUUUCGGAUCGUAAAACUCUGUUGUUAGAGAAGAACAAGGACGUUAGUAACUGAACGUCCCCUGACGGUAUCUAACCAGAAAGCCACGGCUAACUACGUGCCAGCAGCCGCGGUAAUACGUAGGUGGCAAGCGUUGUCCGGAUUUAUUGGGCGUAAAGCGAGCGCAGGCGGUUUCUUAAGUCUGAUGUGAAAGCCCCCGGCUCAACCGGGGAGUGUCAUUGGAAACUGGGAGACUUGAGUGCAGAAGAGGAGAGUGGAAUUCCAUGUGUAGCGGUGAAAUGCGUAGAUAUAUGGAGGAACACCAGUGGCGAAGGCGGCUCUCUGGUCUGUAACUGACGCUGAGGCGCGAAAGAGUGGGGAGCAAACAGG
Molecule: ribosomal RNA, 429 nt
Filed under: Gemmatimonadota bacterium
Lineage: Bacteria; Pseudomonadati; Gemmatimonadota
Description: Gemmatimonadetes bacterium partial 16S ribosomal RNA
Rfam family: Bacterial small subunit ribosomal RNA
Source: RNAcentral